ACGCUGGCGGCACGCCUAACACAUGCAAGUCGAACGAAGUAGCAAUACUUAGUGGCAGACGGGUGAGUAACAUGUGGGUAUCUGCCCUUUGGCCUGGAAUAACACGAGGAAACUUGUGCUAAUACCGGAUAAGUCUUUACGGAGAAAGCUUUAUGCACCAUUGGAUGAGCCCGCACUUGAUUAGUUUGUUGGUGGGGUAAUGGCCUACCAAGACUGUGAUCAAUAGCUGAUUUGAGAGGAUGAUCAGCCACAUUGGGACUGAGACACGGCCCAAACUCCUACGGGAGGCAGCAGUGGGGAAUCUUGCACAAUGGAGGAAACUCUGAUGCAGCGAUGCCGCGUGAGUGAAGAAGGCCCUUGGGUUGUAAAGCUCUUUCGUCGGGGAAGAAAAUGACUGUACCCGAAUAAGAAGGUCCGGCUAACUUCGUGCCAGCAGCCGCGGUAAUACGAAGGGACCUAGCGUAGUUCGGAAUUACUGGGCUUAAAGAGUUCGUAGGUGGUUGAAAAAGUUAGUGGUGAAAUCCCAGAGCUUAACUCUGGAACUGCCAUUAAAACUUUUCAGCUAGAGUAUGAUAGAGGAAAGCAGAAUUUCUAGUGUAGAGGUGAAAUUCGUAGAUAUUAGAAAGAAUACCAAUUGCGAAGGCAGCUUUCUGGAUCAUUACUGACACUGAGGAACGAAAGCAUGGGUAGCGAAGAGGAUUAGAUACCCUCGUAGUCCAUGCCGUAAACGAUGUGUGUUAGACGUUGGAAAUUUAUUUUCAGUGUCGCAGCGAAAGCGAUAAACACACCGCCUGGGGAGUACGACCGCAAGGUUAAAACUCAAAUGAAUUGACGGGGACCCGCACAAGUAGUGGAGCAUGUGGUUUAAUUCGAAGAUACGCGCAGAACCUUACCAACACUUGACAUGUUCGUCGCAACUCUAAGAGAUUAGAGUUUUCGGUUCGGCCGGACGAAACACAGGUGCUGCAUGGCUGUCGUCAGCUCGUGUCGUGAGAUGUUGGGUUAAGUCCCGCAACGAGCGCAACCCUCACUUUUAGUUGCCAUCAUUAAGUUGGGCACUCUGAAAGAACUGCCAGUGAUAAGCUGGAGGAAGGUGGGGAUGACGUCAAGUCCUCAUGGCCCUUACGUGUUGGGCUACACACGUGCUACAAUGGUAUCUACAACAGGAAGCAAGACUGCGAGGUCAAGCAAAUCCUUAAAAGAUACCUCAGUUCGGAUUGCACUCUGCAACUCGAGUGCAUGAAGCUGGAAUUACUAGUAAUCGUGGAUCAGCGUGCCACGGUGAAUGCGUUCCCGGGUCUUGCACUCACCGC
Molecule: ribosomal RNA, 1313 nt
Filed under: uncultured bacterium
Lineage: Bacteria
Description: 16S ribosomal RNA
Rfam family: Bacterial small subunit ribosomal RNA
Source: RNAcentral